Molecule: long non-coding RNA, 3216 nt
Organism: Capsicum annuum
Lineage: Eukaryota; Viridiplantae; Streptophyta; Magnoliopsida; Solanales; Solanaceae
Exons: 5
Source: RefSeq, a predicted model, not a curated record
AGAAAAAUCGAUUAUUCUUUUUUUUUUUUUAAAUAAACUCCUCACCAUAGCCCAAAGUCAGAUACUACUGUUGCAUUUUUUUUUUAUGGGAUUAGUUUUUUGUCUUACACAGUAAUUGCAAUUGACCUUGAAACUGAUUUUUUAUUUAGUGUGUGUAGAUGAUAUAGAGUUUGGAACAGUGCAUAUGACGAGAAAAAUAAGGUGCUAGGAUAUUUUUGAGAAUUCAAAUUUUCCUUUUCAUUUGUACUCUUUGCGCCAAUCACAGGUUAUUCGAAGCCGCUCAGGGAAUUUCAGGGGAACAAAGAGGGUUCUGGAAGGCGUAAUGACGACUGGUGACAGGCUUAGUAUUUUAUUUAUUUUAUGUUGGUUGUAUUGAUUGCUUCAUGAUUUUGUUUAUACAUUUGAGAAAUUCAAUCAAAAUCUCAGUUGGUGGCGAUUAUUUAUCAACAUCUGUUUAGUUAGAUUUUGAUUUAACUAUUUCAAUUCUCUAAAAAAUGAAACGUAACUCAUUAUUUGUAAGCAUUUCAUUUAUUUGAUGUAGGUUGUAUUGGUAACAAGGAGUAUCUUUGCAAUCCUAAACAACCAACGAUAUCUCAAUUUUGUUAAACAUAUGUUAAGUCUUUUGUGCACUGUUGUCAUAUCUGUUUUCGAAAGAUAUUGAACAAUUUAAUAUUUUUGAUGUAGGCAUUAGCUUCAGAUUUAUCAAGCCCAGAUGAUCAGGACGAUUCAAUUAUUGUGGAAUACGAGGAUUUUUUGAAGUUAAGAUAGCCACUAAUGGAAUGUUUUGAGGUUUCUCCAUGAGUGAGAUCCAAAAUUAACGCACGAGCUCAACGUUUAAAUUCUUACCAUGUAGUCCAUUGCAUUUGUUAUUAUGAGUUUGUAGUAUAUUUUUACAUAUACAUUGCACUCCGUGUCAAUUUAAGUUGAAGCAAGAUACAUCUGCCUUCGUGGGUGGAUACAUCCUAUGUUACUAUCAAAAUGAUCAUCUUUCUCCAUUUUGAAGGCCUCGGGAGAGAUCUCUUCUCUGCGCUCCCCAAACGAUCAUCAACUAUCACCCAAGAGAAUAGAGUUUUUUAUCAUCUCUUUGAAAAAUGUAUUAGAAAAUAUAUUUCAGUUUUCUAAUCAAGCUACAAAAACCAGAUAUGAAAUUUAAAGUCGAACAGUAAACACAAAAAAGAAACAUUUGCAAAGAAAAUGCCUUAAGCAGAGAGAGGCAUAAUAGACUACUCAAGUACUUUAUUUUUCUGGACAUAUUAUAGAGAAACACACAUCAUGAUACACAUUUUAAUUGAUCAGUAUUGGUUGUGUCUUCUUCCCCAUAAUGACAGAUCUAACCAGAUAUGUACUACUCAGUCGUUGCCGGCAGGCAAAGUAACUCUGUAUUUGUUGGAUUUUUUACAGGAUUAAAUGACUCUCUAUGGAUACUUGAAAUGUGUACAGGAGAGUGAAUGUGUGUUACGUAGCCAGUGACUCAUGUUAACAUGUUAGACCAGCUUGAAUGACAAACUAUGCAUAUAUUGAUUUUUUAAAAGUAACAAUGUGUGCAUUACGAGGACCACAUUGCUUACUUGCCAUUUAUAGGUGGUGUUUGUUGUAUUCUGAUGUAUUAUUAUUUCUUCCAUAUAAUGAGAGACCUCGAGACAGGAAAUUCACGGGAUUUUGGUUUCAUUAGUUACUAUUCAUUUGAUGCCUCUGAUGCAGCAAUUGAGGUAAUUGUUCUUUUAUCUUUUUGCUUACCAACCAUAAAUUGUAAGGAUACAUGAUACUUUGCCACUUACAAGUCAAAAAAGUUCAAAUCUAAGUAUUACCUAUUGUUUGACUUGGAACAAAUACUUUUUUUAGUGUUUAGUUUUUAAAGUAUGAUGCAUUUCCGAUCAGAAUUGAGAGGAUAAGCUAUUUGCAUGCUAUGGAGAUUGUAAUGUGUAAAUAAUGGAGUAUUUUUUGGUUUGGUUUGUACUAUUAUUUUAUUUGGUUUGGUUUAGUCAUAACUGGUAAAAGUUGCUGCCAUGUGACUAGGAAGUCACGGGUUCAAGACUUGGAAACAGCCUCUGGCAGAAAUGCAAGGUAAGGUUGCGUAUGAUACACCCUUGUGGUGGGGCCCUUUCCCGGACACCGCGCAUAGCGGUAGUUUUAGUGCACCGGGCUGCCCUUUUUUUAGUCAUAAUACAAUCAUAUUAUUGGAGCUUUCAUUUAAUUUCUGAAAGAUAGAUCAAGCGGCUGUAUAUGAAUGUGACCAAUUGACGGAUUUCCUAGAUUCCUUACUUUUUGAAGGAUUGGCAUUGCCCUCUGGUUGUUGUAAUAAGCUGAUAGCAAUAAAAUUUCACAAAUAAAUAGGGAGUAUGUAGGACACAUCUUCCAAGCAUUGCAUAUCUCAUCUCAGACACGUUUAAGUGGUCAAUAUAUUAAUUUAGAACUGUCUAUUGCGAUGCCUAAAUUGUAAUAUAAUUUACCUUCCUGAAAUCCUAUUAAAUAUAAAGACCUGCAAUUAGUAAAGAUACGGUUUACUUGAGUUUACAUGUUUGGAAAAGUCUUUGGAUUUUUAAUCUACUGUUGCUUUUUAGAUUUCAAAUCCUUUGUCCAUGUUAGAUGCUUUCUAGCUGAUGAAUCUGGACUGACUUCUAACUUGGCAUUUCUGCAGGCAAUGAACGGUCAAUAUCUUUGCAAUCGUCAAAUUACGACGUCCUAUGCCUACAAGAAAGAUACAAAGGGGGAACGUCAUGAAAUCCCUGCUGACCUCCUUACUUGUGGUAUGACACGGGGUAUGUUGUUGUUUUCUAUUUCGUGCGCGUCCAAGUCUUUCUGAUGUGGAAAUUGAAAAUUCUGACGGAUGGAGUAAGUUCGGGUCACUCUUCCCUAACCGUGCCCCAAAGGGUUGGUGCUACUCUUGAACUACAUUGGGGGAGCAACAAAUACUGAAAUUUUGUCUAAGCAAUGAACAGAAUGUUUUUGGUGUUGCUCUCUUUAGAUUAAUGAUCAAGUUGAUUUGGAUUACAAAGCUGUUUCUACUUACAUAGCCACGUGAUAGAAGAUUUCAAUCUUAUCAUCAACAAUCAAAAUAAUCGAUCACACAACACAUCAUACUUUCUUAUCAUGUGGAGGAAAAACUAUUUUGUAAAACUUUCCUCCUUAUCGAGUACCGUCAAAUAGUUAUUAUAUAAAAUAUUAUCAUUUUAAGUUAAUGUACAUUUUAUAUUUACAUUUCGUGUCUUAGGAUGC